This 454-nucleotide ribosomal RNA is filed under the name uncultured bacterium. RNAcentral's name for it is "partial 16S ribosomal RNA". It matches the Rfam family "Bacterial small subunit ribosomal RNA", at positions 28 to 507 of the family's 1533-position model. The record is from RNAcentral.
GAUGAACGCUGGCAGCAUGCUUAACACAUGCAAGUCGACUGGAACUUCGGUGUUUGUGGCGGACGUGUGAGUCACGCGUACAGAACUUGCCUCACAGUUAGGGACAACAUUUGGAAACGAAUGCUAAUACCUGAUAUUAUGAUUCUAGGGCAUCCUAGAAUUAUGAAAGCUAUGUGCGCUGUGAGAGGGCUUUGGGUCGCAUUAGCUAGUUGGAGAGGUAACGGCUCACCAGGGCGAUGAUGGGUAGCCUGCCUGAGAGGGUGAACGGCCACAAGGGGAUUGAGAAACGGCCCUUACGCAAACGGGGGGAAGGAGUGGGAAAUAUUGGAAACGGGACCAAGAGUCUGAUCCAGCAAUUCUGUGUGGAAGACGAAGUUUUUCGGAAUGAAAAGUGGUUUCAGUUGACAAGAAAAAAAUGACGGUACCAACAGAAGAAGUGACGGCUAAAUACGUG